RNAcentral lists this transfer RNA (87 nucleotides) under Herbaspirillum sp. LeCh32-8. RNAcentral's name for it is "tRNA-Leu". It matches the Rfam family "tRNA". From Rfam's summary of the family: Transfer RNA (tRNA) molecules are approximately 80 nucleotides in length. Their secondary structure includes four short double-helical elements and three loops (D, anti-codon, and T loops). Further hydrogen bonds mediate the characteristic L-shaped molecular structure. tRNAs have two regions of fundamental functional importance: the anti-codon, which is responsible for specific mRNA codon recognition, and the 3' end, to which the tRNAs corresponding amino acid is attached (by aminoacyl-tRNA synthetases). tRNAs cope with the degeneracy of the genetic code in two manners: having more than one tRNA (with a specific anti-codon) for a particular amino acid; and 'wobble' base-pairing, i.e. permitting non-standard base-pairing at the 3rd anti-codon position. The record is from RNAcentral. Lineage: Bacteria; Pseudomonadati; Pseudomonadota; Betaproteobacteria; Burkholderiales; Oxalobacteraceae.
GCCGGGAUGGCGAAAUUGGUAGACGCAUGGGACUUAAAAUCCCCCGCCCGUUAGGGCGUGCGGGUUCGAUUCCCGCUCCCGGCACCA